UCCUACGGGAGGCAGCAGUGGGGAAUAUUGCACAAUGGGGGAAACCCUGAUGCAGCCAUGCCGCGUGUGUGAAGAAGGCCUUCGGGUUGUAAAGCACUUUCAGUGGGGAGGAAAGGGUGAGUCUUAAUACGGCUCAUCAGUGACGUACCUGCAGAGAGGCCCGC
This 164-nucleotide ribosomal RNA is filed under the name uncultured Shewanella sp. Its description in RNAcentral is "partial 16S ribosomal RNA". It matches the Rfam family "Bacterial small subunit ribosomal RNA", at positions 337 to 495 of the family's 1533-position model. The record is from RNAcentral. Lineage: Bacteria; Pseudomonadati; Pseudomonadota; Gammaproteobacteria; Alteromonadales; Shewanellaceae.